RNAcentral lists this long non-coding RNA (855 nucleotides) under Saimiri boliviensis boliviensis (Bolivian squirrel monkey). RNAcentral describes it as "lncRNA (ENSSBOG00000036553.1)". The record is from RNAcentral. Lineage: Eukaryota; Metazoa; Chordata; Mammalia; Primates; Cebidae.
CCCCGAGCGCCGCAGACCCCGAGCGCAGCCGACCCCGAGCGCCGCCGCUGGGUAGGUAGGGAGUGGGAGAGUGGACGACCGCAGGCGAGAGGGAGAAGGAAGAGCGCCCGGGGAGCAGCCUGGCAGAGUGAUCGGGAUUGAUGAGCGGCGGCUGCUCUGGAGGGACGCAGUCGAGAGGGCCGGGUUGCCUCCCCACCCCUCCUGCCACCUUCCCAUCAGAACCCCAGCUGUGUUCAGUGCCCCUCUGUUAAAGCAGCCACCUGCUCUGGGAAGUCCGGCCCUCUGCAUCACACCUGGCAGUCCCAUUCCUCUCGCUUGUGUGUGGCUCAGGAAUAAGCAGGUGACCCAAUUCUGGUGAACGAGCCAUGAGAAGAAUCCGCUAGAGGUUUCCUUGCGUCUAAGAGAUGGUCCCUUUCACUCUUGGCCUUGGGUUUGGAUGUGACGCCUGAAUCCUCUACAGCCUGAUGACAAAGACCACACCAAGGAUGGAAGUGUGGAAGGAAGAAAAGAACCGGAGCCUUCCAGCCUUUGCCGUAUGGCUGACUUAACCAGCCUUGAAGGUCGCUUUUUCCCCAGGACUUCCUAUCAGGAUUUACCACCCACUGUGGCCCUCUUGCCUGUACCCACACAUACCUACGAAAGAAGACCAGUUUUCAGAUCCCAGAAGAACAUAAAAGAGGGCAUAUCUGUCUUAUAAUUAUGAUUGAACAAGCAUAUGUAGAGCACAGUUGUUUCACUUUUAGAAAUUAAUUAUAAUUGUUUGUACAAUAAAAUGAAUUCUGUCUUUUACCCAAUGUGACAGAACAGUAAUUGAUUUUUUUUUUUAACUCUGCCAUUCCACCUUCUUCUGUUAAU